UGGUCACCUGACUUGCAGUGUGGUGAUAGUGGAACACACUGCAUACCCUGUGACCUCC
RNAcentral lists this microRNA precursor (58 nucleotides) under Ornithorhynchus anatinus (platypus). Its description in RNAcentral is "Oan-Mir-1421-P44_pre stem-loop". The record is from RNAcentral. Lineage: Eukaryota; Metazoa; Chordata; Mammalia; Monotremata; Ornithorhynchidae.